RNAcentral lists this unclassified non-coding RNA (354 nucleotides) under soil metagenome. RNAcentral describes it as "partial contains 5.8S ribosomal RNA, internal transcribed spacer 2, and large subunit ribosomal RNA". The stretch from base 1 to 120 matches the Rfam family "5.8S ribosomal RNA", at positions 35 to 154 of the family's 154-position model. The record is from RNAcentral.
GAUGAAGAACGCAGCGAAAUGCGAUAAGUAAUGUGAAUUGCAGAAUUCCGUGAAUCAUCGAAUCUUUGAACGCACAUUGCGCCCCCUGGCAUUCCGGGGGGCAUGCCUGUCCGAGCGUCAUUUCUGCCCUCCAGCCCGGCUGGGUGUUGGGCGCUGUCCCCCCGGGGACACGCCCCAAAGGCAGUGGCGGCGCCGCGUCGGGUCCUCGAGCGUAUGGGGCUUUGUCACCCGCUCGGGACGGACUCGUCGGCGCUGGUCUUCCUCCAGGCGACCCUUCGGGGCUCGUCUUCCUUCGGUUGACCUCGGAUCAGGUAGGACUACCCGCUGAACUUAAGCAUAUCAAUAAGCGGAGGA